GUGUGUAUGCCAGUGUCUGAAUGCCAGUGUAUGUGUGUGUGUAUGCUGGUGUAUGAAUGCCAGUGUAUGUGUGUGUAUGCUGGUGUAUGAAUGCCAGUGUAUGUGUGUGUAUGCCAGUGUAUGUGUGUGUGUAUGCUGGUGUAUGAAUGCCAGUGUAUGUGUGUGUAUGCCAGUGUCUGAAUGCCAGUGUAUGUGUGUCUGAAUGCCAGUGUGUGUAUGCCAGUGUAUGUGUGUGCCA
This is a non-coding RNA of Pelobates cultripes (western spadefoot toad), 238 nucleotides long. The record is from the annotation of a GenBank genome assembly. Lineage: Eukaryota; Metazoa; Chordata; Amphibia; Anura; Pelobatidae.